UACGAAGGGGGCUAGCGUUGUUCGGAAUUACUGGGCGUAAAGGGCGCGUAGGCGGUACUUCAAGUCAGGCGUGAAAGCCCCGGGCUCAACCUGGGAACUGCUUCCGAGACUGAGCGACUAGAGAUCGGUAGAGGGCGGUGGAAUUUCCGGUGUAGCGGUGAAAUGCGUAGAUAUCGGAAGGAACACCAAUGGCGAAGGCAGCCGCCUGGGCCUGAUCUGACACUGAGACACGAAAGCGUGGGGAUCAAACAGG
RNAcentral lists this ribosomal RNA (253 nucleotides) under uncultured bacterium. Its description in RNAcentral is "partial 16S ribosomal RNA". It matches the Rfam family "Bacterial small subunit ribosomal RNA", at positions 524 to 776 of the family's 1533-position model. The record is from RNAcentral.